UUCAAACAGCUCCUGAAGCUAAAGAGACAUUCCAGUUUCUCCCCAUGUGUGUGGACAACAGUUUGGGUUGGAAGAGACCUUUUAAACAUCUAGUCCAACCCUUCUACCAUGGGCAGGGACCCAUUCUAAUAGACCAGGUUUAUGUCAUUCCUGCACUGAGGACCCUAGAGAUGGAAGCAAUACUCUAGGAAAAUGUAUCAAACCUGAGUCGUUAAUACCAGGAACAGUUCUGGACUACCAGCCAGCAUACUUACAUAGGACACUACAUCAGUAAUAAAUGCAGUACAAGAUCAGAUUGUUUUGAGGUCCACAAUAAAUCAGGUAUCAAAACUAUUGCUAUUUUUCAUAGUACUGCUUUUGCAAAGGUAGUUGAUACUUUGACCGCUCAUUUGUACUUUCCA
This is a long non-coding RNA of Manacus vitellinus (golden-collared manakin), 401 nucleotides long. RefSeq lists it as uncharacterized. The transcript has 3 exons. The record is from RefSeq and is a predicted model, not a curated record. Lineage: Eukaryota; Metazoa; Chordata; Aves; Passeriformes; Pipridae.